GGCCCCGUGGUGUAGCGGUUAACAUGUCUCCCUGUCACGGAGAAGAUCACCGGUUCGAUCCCGGUCGGGGUCGCCA
RNAcentral lists this transfer RNA (76 nucleotides) under Candidatus Woesebacteria bacterium. Its description in RNAcentral is "tRNA-Asp". It matches the Rfam family "tRNA". Rfam says of the family: Transfer RNA (tRNA) molecules are approximately 80 nucleotides in length. Their secondary structure includes four short double-helical elements and three loops (D, anti-codon, and T loops). Lineage: Bacteria; Candidatus Woeseibacteriota. The record is from RNAcentral.